RNAcentral lists this ribosomal RNA (526 nucleotides) under Melanohalea laciniatula. Its description in RNAcentral is "eukaryotic LSU rRNA". It matches the Rfam family "Eukaryotic large subunit ribosomal RNA", at positions 112 to 650 of the family's 3401-position model. The record is from RNAcentral. Lineage: Eukaryota; Fungi; Ascomycota; Lecanoromycetes; Lecanorales; Parmeliaceae.
AAUUUGAAAUCUGGCCCUCCUGGGGUCCGAGUUGUAAUUUGUAGAGAGUGCUUCGGGGGAGACCGCGGUCUAAGUCCAUUGGAACAUGGCGUCCCAGAGGGUGAGAAUCCCGUAUGUGACCGUGGCUCGAGCCCAUGUGAAGCCUCUUCGACGAGUCGAGUUGUUUGGGAAUGCAGCUCUAAAUGGGUGGUAAAUUUCAUCUAAAGCUAAAUACUGGCUGGAGACCGAUAGCGCACAAGUAGAGUGAUCGAAAGAUGAAAAGCACUUUGGAAAGAGAGUUAAACAGUACGUGAAAUUGUUGAAAGGGAAGCGCUUGCAACCAGACCUGCCCGUAGGCGAUCAACCGCUGUUCUCAGCGGUGCACUCGUUCUGCGAUCAGGCCAGCAUCGGUUCUGGCGGUCGGAUAAAGGCCUUGGGAAUGUAGCUUCCCUUCGGGGGAGUCUUAUAGCCCUCGGUGCAAUGCGGCCAGCCGGGACCGAGGACCGCGCUUCGGCUAGGAUGCUGGCGUAAUGGUUGUAAGCGACCC